Molecule: long non-coding RNA, 3983 nt
Organism: Prinia subflava (tawny-flanked prinia)
Lineage: Eukaryota; Metazoa; Chordata; Aves; Passeriformes; Cisticolidae
Exons: 8
Source: RefSeq, a predicted model, not a curated record
UUAAUGAGUUCUGUGACCAAAGCUUACAGGGCGAUUUACACUAAUAAGAGCAAGUGCUUUAGGGGAGGGAGUGUUUCCAUUGGCAGAGUGCAAAACUGUGCUUUCAAUUCUCUUGUUUCUUGCAGCUAAUUUACCUUUAUUUUGGGAGUGUUGAGGAGCAGUGUGCAUGUAAGUGGGAAGGAGCAAGAGAUGAAAACAAGGAAACAUGACAUUGCGGUAAUUAGCUUUCUGCUGCUCGGCAACAACUAAAUACUACCUGGGAGCAACAGGAGCAAGACUGAAAGGAAAAGCAGAACAUGGAGUACAAGGACUGGUGCUGCCCCUGCUGAAAUGCCUUUCUAAUUAGGACCCAGCUGCCACACCGGGCACUCAAGGUGACAACAGAGAAUGAAUUUGAAGCUCUUGAAUCCGGCAGUUCCUGCAGAAGCCACUUAAAAAUGUUUCCACUCAUUCACUGGGUGCUGAACACUUCAGAAAAUCAGAUUGUGAAGCUACAAUCAAAUUCACUUGACUUAUGCUAUUUCCAGCUCUUAUGGAGGUCAACAACAAUUGUAUUUCCUGCAUUAGCAUGAAAAUUUCUUUCCUUGCAGCACCCCUGGAGAGCAGAUGGAGGACUGAGCACUGAUGGAAAGGAAGAAGCAAAGAGGAGCACUGAACGCAGGAAUGUUUUGCUGCCAGAGCAGGAGUAUAUUUGAUAACAGAUGGUAAAACCGCAAAACUGUCUCUGCUUCAUUAGCGCCCCUGGCAUGUUUUCCUAUAUAGGGGCUGCACAGAGAUCCCUAAAUCAUUGCACAUGGCUCACCCUGGAGUCCAGUGCAUGAGGACAACAUAUGGUUACUUCCUACCAGGAACUGCCUUCCAACAGUGUCAGAAACUCGUCCUUCAAAAGUCACCCACUGAGGAAAGCAGAUUCUUCUGCAGGAUGUGAAGAGGAGACAUAAGGGAAGCAUGAGUGAGAGUUUUACUUUUCCUCUUACAGAUCAAAGCAGUACAGCAUAUGCCAGGAUUGCAAGUCAAACUGUUGAGGACAUUCCACAGGACCCUAACCAGCUUUUAUUUAAAAACAGUAAAAAUGUUGAUUUGGAAGGACUACAGAAGCUUCCCUGAGAGUUCAUGAUGAAGCUUAAUUGUCUAAUUUGAAUGUGAGCAGCAGCACAGAAUCUCAGCUGAAAGCUCCUCGUUCCUAAACACUGAGUAACCCAAGGAAUGUGAAUUAACACAAACACAACCUUAUCCUGCUGUGGAGGAGGAGGAGGAAGGGGAAUAAAUAUGUUAGAUACCUGCAGGCCAAGCUCCCCAGGAAGUCAGUGGGAGCUUUACUAGAGGAAGAACAGCAUGACCAGACAUAAGCAUAAAGGAGAGAGGAUGCCAAGAAAAUAUUUUCCAGGCUUGCAUGUACUGACAGACCUAUGAAGUCUACUAAGUGCAGAGGGCAGGAAUUCUACUACAGUGUGACUCUGCUGCUUUAGCAUAGCUUUCUGGCUGACUCUAUUUCCCUCUUUGUGCCUAAUUAGAAAAAAUAAAUUUACAAAAUUGUCUGAUGAUGCAAAAAAGACAAUUCUAAUGAGCUUCAAAGAAACAUCAGUUUAGGUGUGUGCAGUGAUAUUUAGCUGUCUAGACAGAUGCUUUUGACAAUCUUUCUGGAUCCCUGAUCUUUCCCAUCACCUUUUCAUUACUCUGUUCAGAUCUCCAGUCACCAGACUUUGCUUCUGAUAUCCAAAUGUGGAUUCUUUAGGUUAAGGAGAAGUGUAAUACCUGUUCAUCUUACUAAGACAGGUGCCUAAGGCAGUUUGUCAUUUGAAACAAACUAUCUUUUCUUAUUACAAAUAGAGAAUAUGAUGCAAUUUUUGAAGUGUUUCCUCUUUUUAGAAAGAACUACAUUAUUAAGAAAUUAGUGUGAAAAACCUUGAAAUCAACUCAAAUCAGCCACUAUUGUUUUAACAAGUAACUGUUGACUGUAUUGCACCUAAAGACAAAUGAUUAGUGACUAGGAGCUUUGCUUAAUCAAAGUAAGUUAAGAAAUAAACAAAAUUUGCAGAGUUAGCUGAUUUUGCCUGACAUACACAAAUGCACUUCCAGUCUUUCCUGGCUGUCUACAACGAGAUCAGAAGUAAUUUAGUAUGAGUCAGGUGGAGGUGAAGCAAAACAUCAAAUGUACUUGUAUUUGCAAGCAGUGUCCAUCAAAAUCCUCCAAGAAUGGCUGGAUUUGAGUAAAUGCUGAGCUUUUCAUAGACCGUUCCUAAACAUCCACUGAUCUAGCAUACCAGAUGCAGUCCAGAGAAUCUUGCUUUAUACAGAUAUGCAGAUUUUCAUUUAAUCUUAAUAUUCAGAGACUGUAUUCCUUUUACUUGCCCAAGUGUAACACUUACAAUGGUUAUGUAAACUGAUGCUUACACUGAGAUGCUAUUUUGACAUGCAUUUUGGUGCUAUAUGUAAACAUCAAAGGCAUAUAAUAACCACCCUUAGUACAGAUCCCAGUUCCAUUUAGGAUGAGAAAAUUUUGUGAUUUUUUCUUUGACAAAAUGGUAAUGUGAAUUUAGAUUUCUGCACAACUCAAUUACCAUUUGUAACUGAAAGCAGCGCACUCAGAAGUGAGGUAACAGUGGAUUUGUUGCCUGACUCUACCAAUGAUUGCCUUAAUAUACCAUUCACCUGUUAAUGAUGUUACCAAUUAUUUUACUAUAAAUUAGCUAUUGUGAGCUUCAGGUCUUUUCGCAAUGUCUGUGUUAGGUUACAGAGCAUAAAUCAAACUCCCAUCUCUUUUUACACCCAUAACCAUAACGUAUGGCUUUUAUUAGGAAAUGUUAAGUGUCUUAUAAUGUCUUCUUAAUGGACAGUGUGUGCAUGUGUUGAUGAGGAAAGCCAUCUUCCUUCAUGCAAAAUGUUAAUGCAUGUGGCCUACGUCUCCAUAGAUACAAGUUAAAGAAUCAUAUUUAACUCAAGAAAUAUUCAGUGUACUCAUAUUUAUCUGGUUUUAACAAUCCUUUAAGGAAAAACAAGUUAGAAGUAAAUUAGAAGUUGAAUUCUAACAGGUAUGCACAAGUGAUUGUGAAUAAAUGGUACAUCAUCCACUCACCCCCCCCUCCCCCAACAAACCCAAAUCAUUUUAUAAAACACCUAUUGCUAAAUGGAAAUACCCUUAGAGAAUUUAUAUCCAAGAAUUCCAGCCUGUGCAUCACAAAGACUCCUAAUACUGGUUAUAAAUUUUUGUCCUUCUCCUAAAAUAUCAUAAUGCCUCCAAACAAAAGGAUGUUUUAACCUCUGUAUCCUUUUCAUUGGGACAACAUUAUCCAUUUGGCUUUCAAACCACUUCCCAAAAUCUUGAACCAAGCACAUUACUUUCACUUGAAAUGUGUUUUACCGACAGAUUUCUGGGUACCAGAGAGAUCUGCUAUUCAGAUCGCCGGCUAACACUGGGCUUGAUUAAUGGAAGCCAAGCAUUUUGAAGGAUACCCUCCAGCCUUGUCUUUUCCUUUCCUUGUUCCCUUGGCAGAAAUCAGGGAUUUGAAAGCUGCAAUACAACAGCAUCAUCUUUUCAUCUUGUGGUAAAUAUUCUAUUAUUCCAUUAUCCUCAACGCUGUUUAAAGAAAUUUAUUUAGACUAUGUACUCCUUUGUUCAGUGAGGAAGUCUCCAAAUGGUUUGCAAACAAGAAUCUUUAGAAAUGCAGCAAGCUAUAACUCCAGGCUCUGCUCCAGCUUUCCCCAUUCAUUCAGUUUGCAGCCCUGGUGUCUGCCUGCUGGAGAUCUCUGCUCAGACCAAGUCUCUGGCAGCUGCUGUUCCAGCACCCAUUCAUACGUGGCCAACUCCCCUCUCCCUGCUCCUUGCAUUCCCACUUCUCUUUCAUCCAUCCAUCCAUCCAUCCAUCCAUCCAUCCAUCCAUCCAUCCAUCCAUCCAUCCAUCCAGUUUUCUCCCUAAUCUGAUCUCACUUCUUUGAUCCUUCUCAGGAACACUGAUCACCCUCCCCCACCAAAGCACCACUCA